AGAGUGAACGCUGGCGGCGUGCCUAACACAUGCAAGUCGAGCGAGGUACUAACGGUAGCAAUACUGGAUAGGCCUAGCGGCAGACGGGUGAGUAACACGUAGAUAACCUUCCUCUUAGAGGGGGAUAGCUCGCCGAAAGGCGAGGUAAUACCCCGUACGAUCGCGGACCGGCAUCGGUCUGUGAUGAAACAUCCGCAAGGAUGGCUGAGAGACGGAUCUGCGGCCCAUCAGCUAGUUGGUGAGGUAACGGCUCACCAAGGCUACGACGGUAACCGCCUGAAAGGCGAACGGUCACACUGACACUGAGACACGGGUCAGACUCCGUAGGGAGCAGCAGUGAGGAAUCUUGGACAAGUACGGGGCAACCCGUGAUCCAGCGACGCCGCGUGAAGGAUAGAAGGUCUUCGGAUUAGUAACUUUCGUUUGUCGUAGGUAAAUAAAAAUUC
RNAcentral lists this ribosomal RNA (446 nucleotides) under uncultured soil bacterium. Its description in RNAcentral is "bacterial SSU rRNA". It matches the Rfam family "Bacterial small subunit ribosomal RNA", at positions 26 to 459 of the family's 1533-position model. The record is from RNAcentral.